RNAcentral lists this ribosomal RNA (469 nucleotides) under Rossellomorea marisflavi. RNAcentral's name for it is "bacterial SSU rRNA". It matches the Rfam family "Bacterial small subunit ribosomal RNA", at positions 1 to 461 of the family's 1533-position model. The record is from RNAcentral. Lineage: Bacteria; Bacillati; Bacillota; Bacilli; Caryophanales; Bacillaceae.
UUAUGGAGAGUUUGAUCCUGGCUCAGGACGAACGCUGGCGGCGUGCCUAAUACAUGCAAGUCGAGCGGAUCGAUGGGAGCUUGCUCCCUGAGAUCAGCGGCGGACGGGUGAGUAACACGUGGGUAACCUGCCUGUAAGACUGGGAUAACUCCGGGAAACCGGGGCUAAUACCGGAUAACACCUACCCCCGCAUGGGGGAAGGUUGAAAGGUGGCUUCGGCUAUCACUUACAGAUGGACCCGCGGCGCAUUAGCUAGUUGGUGAGGUAACGGCUCACCAAGGCGACGAUGCGUAGCCGACCUGAGAGGGUGAUCGGCCACACUGGGACUGAGACACGGCCCAGACUCCUACGGGAGGCAGCAGUAGGGAAUCUUCCGCAAUGGACGAAAGUCUGACGGAGCAACGCCGCGUGAGUGAAGAAGAUUUUCGGAUCGUAAAACUCUGUUGUUAGGGAAGAACAAGUGCCGUUC